This 313-nucleotide unclassified non-coding RNA is filed under the name Hevea brasiliensis (rubber tree). The record is from RNAcentral. Lineage: Eukaryota; Viridiplantae; Streptophyta; Magnoliopsida; Malpighiales; Euphorbiaceae.
UUAUGGAUUACCCUCUUUAUUUGUUGAAAGAGUCAAAGAACAAAUUAGAGAUAAAAAUGUAGGUACAAUUCCUUAUCAUCUGUACACCUAUGGAGGGGAAAAAAAGGAGAAAGAAAAAAUAUUAUAAGCCUAAAAGGCAUCAUACAAAAGAAAAGCCUGAGUCUUCUAAAAAGAAUACUCGUAAAAAAGGAAAAGGGCCUUCUAAAAAGAAGGAAAAAGACAAAGAAGUUGUUUGCUAUAAAUGUGGAAAAGUAGGUCAUUAUGCUAAUAAGUGUAAAGUUAAAUAGCAAAUACAAGCAUUAUCAAUAGAAAA